Molecule: ribosomal RNA, 430 nt
Filed under: uncultured Syntrophaceae bacterium
Lineage: Bacteria; Pseudomonadati; Thermodesulfobacteriota; Syntrophia; Syntrophales; Syntrophaceae
Description: bacterial SSU rRNA
Rfam family: Bacterial small subunit ribosomal RNA
Source: RNAcentral
UGAGGAAUCUUGCGCAAUGGGGGAAACCCUGACGCAGCAACGCCGCGUGAGUGAGGAAGGCCUUCGGGUCGUAAAGCUCUGUCAGUUGGAAAGAAAUACCUGAAAGUCAAUACCUUUCAGGCUUGACGGUACCAACAGAGGAAGCACCGGCUAACUCCGUGCCAGCAGCCGCGGUAAUACGGGGGGUGCAAGCGUUGUUCGGAAUUAUUGGGCGUAAAGAGCGUGUAGGCGGCCGGAUAUGUCAGAUGUGAAAUCCCUGGGCUUAACCCAGGAAGUGCAUUUGAAACUGUCCGGCUUGAGUAGGGGAGAGGGAAGUGGAAUUCCUGGUGUAGAGGUGAAAUUCGUAGAUAUCAGGAGGAACACCGGUGGCGAAGGCGACUUCCUGGCCCUAUACUGACGCUGAGACGCGAGAGCGUGGGUAGCAAACAGG